GAUCACAGGCAAAUAAAAUUCAGCCCUUACACCUGUUCCAUCCACCCUACCAAGGAAGCCUUCCCAGCUGCCCCUGGUUGAGCACCUAGUCCCAGAAUAUCUGUAACUUGACUUCUUCGACACUCUGAGCAACUUGAAGGUCUGUGACAUUAGAGGACAGGCCAAGUUCUCUCCAUUGGUAGGUAGCAGAUUUGUAUCCAAACCCAUGUCACAUUGAUUCUGGAGUCUGUGGCCAGUCUCCUCCGAGGUCAUCUAACCUUCCACACCAGAGUCUAUUCCUGACUCCCUAGAUGAAGAAGAAAAGAACUGUGAAUAUAGGGCAACAAGCAUGGUGGUCGGGCUCCAGAUAACUGCUCUUGUCCUUGCUCCACUACUGAUUGGCUCUGUGACCUUGAACAAGUCACUUCACCUUAAAGAAACUGCUUCUUCGUUUGAAAAUGGAGUCAUCACAUUUAUCUGCUCUAAGCGAGCUUCACCAGCAGCAGGCAAGGUCUGUAACACACUAGGAAACUAAGAGAGACUGUACAAAUCCACAGUAUCUUACAACAGAGAAUCAUCCUUUUCACCCUCCGGUGGCAUCAAGCUCAACAGUUUACCAGUCUGCACAGCUUCUGCCCUGCUCCAGACCUCAAGAUCUUCACUUUGACCACUGCAACUGACUUGUUUUGCCAUUUGAGUGCAUCAUCAACCAGAGCAAUCUUUUCAAAUUGCAAGUGUGGUCAAGUCUCUCCCUUUCUCAUAACCCUUCCCAUCAUUUCUAGAUUACAUUUUAAGAAUGCAGACGACCUUCACAACUUGUCUUCAAACUCCAUAUCCAAGCAUUGCUGACCACUUGCUGUCACAAUCCCUAUAUUGCAGCUAAGUUGAGCUAUUUGAAAUUUCCUCAAGAUACCUUGAUCUCUCAUGACUCCAGGCUGUACUACACACUCAUUUCUUUUUCUGGAGGCCUUUCCCAUUUGACAUGUUCCAACAUAUCCUUCAAGACCCACUUCAAAUACUAUUUUCCCUGAGAAGCUUUCUCCAACUCCCCCAGGCUGUUAAUAUUUCUGUUAUCUUUGAUUUUUAACCUACACAUUUAUUUGUUCACACUUGAAUUUCUGCCAUUUCCCUUAGGAAAAAAAUGUUCCAUAAACUGCUUCUUGAGUUUGAUUCUCUCCUUUUUCAUUUGUAGCCCUGAAUAUUCUACCUUACUGACAGCUCCAAGGUCAGUGCUUUGACCUUGUAAAAACACAGUGUAAAUCAUGUGUUUAAAAAAAAAAAUUUUCAGCAGCUGCUAAAAUCAAAUGAAUUUGGGGUAAAAUGAAUAUGAUUUUUAGGUCAUCAUCUGCUAUAUGGAACAUUUCUUUACCUGUAAGCAAUCUGGCGGGGGAUGGCAAGAGGCAGUAAAUUCACCUGCUUUGGUUAAUUCUGGAGAGUCAGUACCUGAUUGAAAAUUCCCUUCUGUGCCCUCAUGAUGCUCUAUGCACAGCUCUAGCCAAGCUUUUAUCUCCAGACUUCUCAUCACUACUUAUUUCUUAGCCUCCCAGAGAAGGUCCAUGGCCGGGACAAUGGAUCCCUCUUCAUAUUCCCCAGCAGCAAGCCCUGUUUGUGAGACAUGCUUGGUACUCAAUUUAGAAAUGUUCAUUGCAUAAAUAACAGUAGCUAACAUUUGUGGAGGGCUUAUUAUGUGCCAGACAGGCACUGUUCUAAACACCUUCUGUGUAUCAACUCAUCUAAUUCUCAAAAUAACCCUAUAGGAUAGGAAUUAUAAUUAUCCGCAUUUUAAAAAUGAGCAAACAGAAACCCAAAAUAUGUGCAGAAGCUUGAUUUAGAACUUGAGUUCUCGGCAAGAGAGCCAUACCUCCACCACAACAAAAUACUGCCUCUCAUGU
Bos taurus (domestic cattle) is the source of this 1871-nucleotide long non-coding RNA. NCBI's taxonomy places the organism in Eukaryota, Metazoa, Chordata, Mammalia, Artiodactyla, Bovidae. The record is from Ensembl.